GGACUUUAAUAAUGAUCAGGAAUUUUAAAUAUUUAGUAAGGGUAUUUUAGUUGUAUAUUUAUUGUUCCCCAAGUUAAAUUAAGGUUUGAGUCUCUUUAAAUAGUAAUGUAAUCCCCACAAGUUAAUUACAUAAUAAUUUAUUGAUUAUUAAUAUUGAGGCUACGAGAUAUUUUCCUCUCUUUUGUGGUACCCUUGGUAUAGAGCUUCAACCAAGUUAAUUUUACCUAGUCUUACCAAUUAUUUAUCUCCAAAUUUU
RNAcentral lists this long non-coding RNA (256 nucleotides) under Panax ginseng (ginseng). RNAcentral's name for it is "long non-coding RNA (PGIN_LNC000405)". Lineage: Eukaryota; Viridiplantae; Streptophyta; Magnoliopsida; Apiales; Araliaceae. The record is from RNAcentral.